This 73-nucleotide transfer RNA is filed under the name Sedimentisphaerales bacterium. RNAcentral's name for it is "tRNA-Asn". It matches the Rfam family "tRNA". Rfam says of the family: Transfer RNA (tRNA) molecules are approximately 80 nucleotides in length. Their secondary structure includes four short double-helical elements and three loops (D, anti-codon, and T loops). Lineage: Bacteria; Pseudomonadati; Planctomycetota; Phycisphaerae; Sedimentisphaerales. The record is from RNAcentral.
UCCCCGAUAGCUCAAUUGGUAGAGCGAGCGGCUGUUAACCGCUAGGUCGCUGGUUCGAGUCCAGCUCGGGGAG